GAUGAACGCUGGCGGCGUGCCUAAUACAUGCAAGUCGAGCGAACUGACGAGAAGCUUGCUUCUCUGAUGUUAGCGGCGGACGGGUAAGUAACACGUGGAUAACCUACCUAUAAGACUGAGAUAACUUCGGUUAACCGGAGCUAAUACCGGAUAAUAUUUUGAACCGCAUGUUUCAAAAGUAAAAGACGGUCUUGCUGUCACUUAUAGAUGGAUCCGCGCUGCAUUAGCUAGUUGGUAAGGUACCGGCUUACCAAGGCAACGAUGCAGAGCCGACCUGAGAGGGUGAUCGGCCACACGGGCACAGAGAAACGGUACAGACACCUAAGGGAGGCAGCAGUAGGGAAUCUUCCGAAAUGGGCGAAAGCCGGACGGAGCAAAGCCGCGUGAGUGAUGAAGGUCUUAGGAUCGGAAAACUCUGUAAUUAGGGAAGAACAAAUGUGUAAGUAACGGUGAACAUCUUGACGGUACCUAAACAGAAAGCCACGGCUAACUACGUG
This 497-nucleotide ribosomal RNA is filed under the name uncultured bacterium. Its description in RNAcentral is "partial 16S ribosomal RNA". It matches the Rfam family "Bacterial small subunit ribosomal RNA", at positions 28 to 507 of the family's 1533-position model. The record is from RNAcentral.